GAAACCCAGAAAUUCGGCGUUAUUUUUUUUCAUGUCUCUGGUAUUAAACUGAUAAGACAUAACUUAAAUAGUUUUGGGUCUUCCCUUAGAUCUUAUCUCGUCAAGAAGCUGUCCAUAUAGCUCUUGCAAAACCUCAUAAACAGCCCACGUCUUCUCAUCUUCAAGCACAACCAUUCAGUAUUCAAAUAAUAAUAAUAAAACACAGCCAUUCCAGUGAGUCAUAUGAUGGAUAAUGAAUGCAGUUUCCAGAUUCCAGAUUAGGGGAACACCCCCGAACAAGUGAGCCUACAUCUGCAGACAACAAAGUGGACCUGACUUUCAAACCUAAAAGGAAGAGCAUUCCAUUCCCAGCUCUACAGACUUCGGAGCUAUAUCACCAGGGUCUUGCAUAAUAUGUUGUAAAUCGGAUACCUUUCCUUUGCAGUUUUUCCUUUUUCCAGCUUCAAAGCUGAAGCCUUGAUGUAAAACUUAAUGAAGUAUGAAUUUAUUGCCAUUUUCUUUCAGGGAAACUUUUAAUUGUACAUAUUUUGUGGCAGUUGUUUUUUUUUUGGUUCAACGUCAGUUGUGAUUUAUUUCUCAAGAAUUCGAAGAAUUGAUCUCUUCUUAGUUGAUUAUUGUAAGCGUCCCUCAAUGUGAAAAUGAAUAACAUUUGACAAAAGUCGAGACAAUUCUUCACUCUGUAAUUUGUAGGUACAUUGUAGAUGUUCCCAUUAUUUUCUAGAAAACUGAGUCCAAAGGUUUUUUUAUUUUAUUUUGAAACUACUUUAGAGUAGGAUAAAGUGAUCAAGUUCCUCAAAAGCAGAAUAGAA
RNAcentral lists this long non-coding RNA (809 nucleotides) under Gossypium barbadense (sea-island cotton). RNAcentral's name for it is "long non-coding RNA (GBAR_LNC000852)". The record is from RNAcentral. Lineage: Eukaryota; Viridiplantae; Streptophyta; Magnoliopsida; Malvales; Malvaceae.